CAUGUAAAUGCCACCCACAGGCACAGGGACAUUGAGAAGAACUCUCAGGUAGACAAUCCAAGGUGGGAACAGCCUGCUAACCCCACGGCGACAGAGCCAGGGCAGGGGACCGGGACUGGGUUACCUGGGUGUGGGUUACAGACGUGGGCACCCUGAGGCCUUUUCAAAAUUCUAUGAGAGAGAGCAAGCAUCUCCCUGCUCCUGGCAAAAGUCACUACCAUCCCCCAGAGGCAUCGUGGAAUGUGGAGAUUGCUCAGAAUUCCUCUCUGCCAGUUCCAGUGCAUUUGCAAGGGAAGCCAGGUGGCCCUGACCUCGGAGAUGGGGCUACAGACGACAACUCUGAUGUUGGUGACCCUGCUGGAUGCUUCCUUAGCAUCUUAAAUUUCCUCCUGAUUUUCAGAAAGCUGCAGAGUGAAGGACCUGCCAUGGCUCUGGGGAUGCUGAAGGAGCUCACGAAGUCCUCAUGUGAUGCUGGGGGGCUGUCAUCUACACAAUGGAUGAGCAAGGAGGGUGGCAGAGCAGGCGGACCUCUGCCAACAGGAGGAAUGCCUCUGCAGACCCGCCCAGACUUCUGGGCCAUCCCCGUGGGCUGCAGCAGGAACUCGUGGCUGUGCCCAUGGCCUCCCAACAGAGCCCUUCAGCGUAGGACAGUGCUGGGCCGAGUGAUGGGACAUCACGGGCACCUGAUGUUAUGCAUCCGAGCUUCGUGUGGGAGGAGCACCCUCUCCAUGCAGCAGAAUGGCGCGCCUAGGGUGGAAGCCUCUGGGGCACUGAAGCCCCAGUAAGUCCUGCAACUCUGAUGAGGCUGCAGUGUCUUCCGUUUAUCCACAGGCACGACCACCCUUGUGUCUCGCUGCAGUUGCCAGCCCCACCAUUACCAUCUCACUCCCCCUGCCUGUGGCUCCUGGUCUGCCUGGGGACUGUCCAGAAACAGAGUGGCUGCAGAGCCACUGACACAUUCUCACAGUCCUGUCCAGCUCCUGCUGGCUGGGAUGGCUCUAAUGUUUGGGUCCACAUGUGAUCAGUCCCAGCCAUACAAGUACACCAUGUCGUAGGCUCUAGCCUUCUAAGAUUAUUGACUAACAGGGAUCCAUAGUGGGAUGAAACAUUUACAAAAUGACACAGUGUUUCUGCACUAUGAACGAACAAUACAACUUACGCUGGAACAGGGGAAGAUGAGAUUUAUUCCCCAAGUAUCAAUGCUAUUUACAACUCCCUUCUAUUUCUCUGCCUCGUUGGCUUCCAGUUUUCCUUUCCUUUCUAGGUUAUACAUGCU
RNAcentral lists this long non-coding RNA (1276 nucleotides) under Heterocephalus glaber (naked mole-rat). RNAcentral's name for it is "lncRNA (ENSHGLG00000029034.2)". The record is from RNAcentral. Lineage: Eukaryota; Metazoa; Chordata; Mammalia; Rodentia; Bathyergidae.